AACGAACGCUGGCGGCAUGCCUAACACAUGCAAGUCGAACGAGACCUUCGGGUCUAGUGGCGCACGGGUGCGUAACGCGUGGGAACCUGCCCUUAGGUUCGGAAUAACUCCCCGAAAGGGGUGCUAAUACCGGAUAAUGUCUUCGGACCAAAGAUUUAUCGCCUUUGGUUGGGCCCGCGUUGGAUUAGCUAGUUGGUAGGGUAAAAGCCUACCAAGGCGACGAUCCAUAGCUGGUCUGAGAGGAUGAUCAGCCACACUGGGACUGAGACACGGCCCAGAAUCCUACGGGAGGGAGCAGUGGGGAAUAUAGGACAAUGGGCGAAAGCCUGAUCCAGCAAUGCCGGGUAAGUGAUGAAGGCCUUAGGGUUGUAAAGCUCUUUUACCCGGGAUGAUAAUGACAGUACCGGGAGAAUAAGCUCCGGCUAACUACGUG
Molecule: ribosomal RNA, 433 nt
Filed under: uncultured bacterium
Lineage: Bacteria
Description: partial 16S ribosomal RNA
Rfam family: Bacterial small subunit ribosomal RNA
Source: RNAcentral